Loxodonta africana (African savanna elephant) is the source of this 70-nucleotide transfer RNA. It matches the Rfam family "tRNA". Rfam says of the family: Transfer RNA (tRNA) molecules are approximately 80 nucleotides in length. Their secondary structure includes four short double-helical elements and three loops (D, anti-codon, and T loops). Lineage: Eukaryota; Metazoa; Chordata; Mammalia; Proboscidea; Elephantidae. The record is from Rfam.
GCAGUGGUGGUUCAGUGGUAGAAUUCUAGCCUUCCAUGCAAGAGACCUGAGUUCGACUCCAGCCAAUGCA